UACGUAGGGUGCAGGCGUUAAUCGGAAUUACUGGGCGUAAAGCGUGCGCAGGCGGCUUUGCAAGACAGAUGUGAAAUCCCCGGGCUUAACCUGGGAACUGCAUUUGUGACUGCAUGGCUAGAGUGCGGCAGAGGGGGAUGGAAUUCCGCGUGUAGCAGUGAAAUGCGUAGAUAUGCGGAGGAACACCGAUGGCGAAGGCAGCUCUCUGGGACGGUACUGACGCUGAGACGCGAAAGCGUGGGGAGCGAACAGG
This 253-nucleotide ribosomal RNA is filed under the name uncultured bacterium. RNAcentral's name for it is "partial 16S ribosomal RNA". It matches the Rfam family "Bacterial small subunit ribosomal RNA", at positions 524 to 776 of the family's 1533-position model. The record is from RNAcentral.